UGGAUAUGCAAAUAGGUGAAUAGUACCUUAUUAUCUUAAAAUAAUGCGAAGAGUGUUUAUAAAUUACCUUAUCAAUUCUCAGCACAGAAGCGCCAAAAUCUGCCAGAAUUUUUCCGCAAAAAGGACCUGGUGCGAGACCAACAAAUUCCAAAACCAUCACAUCUUUUAGGGGCAUUAUUUACAAAGCAAAGGUACGUUCAACACAUGCACUUGUAUUAUGACUUUCCAACUGCUGAGAUGCAAGCCGUACAUCGAUUAUUGUAACAUAUCGAUGCAUUGCCGAUAGUUCUUUAUUUAACUACUCUGGAAGAAAGAUAGCUUUUAGCAAACGUGUAGGCGACUUGUUAUUCUUCACUUUUGCAAACGUCACACUGUAGGGGCAUCAUCUUGCUCUUACAAAACCCUGCCAAGGAUUGCAGAAUUUUUCCCUUGGUGGAACAACACAAUAACAAACAUGCAGAAAAUUUUUUAAAAUGGUUAUCAAAUAUAUCAGACCAAAACCCAUGACGGCAGCACCUUCGGAGCAAAAAUUGCGAAAAUGUGUCCUUAUUACGAUCAGCUGAGGGAAAUAUUUGGAAAGCGGUUACCGGCCAUGCAACCGUUACUGGUUGAAAGUAACUUUCCUUCGCCUGAGCUGUGUCCAGCUAGUCCUGCACCAGAGUUCGCAGUAUAAUUCUCGGAAAAGGAAUGUGUACCUGCUGCGCCAUCAAAUGCCGCACCCUUGUUCGCAUCAAUUCCCACAUAGGUAUCAACAUACCAACGGUCGAUUCGGCCACCGAAAUCAUCCGUUGGACAAUUAGUUAGUUAGACAAUUGCAAUGUAAGCGAAGAAGCUGGAAUUUAACAUAUAUAAAUUCAAAGAAAAGAUAAAGAUAUAUAAAUUCGAAGAAAAUUAAGGAACGGAAAUUGGAUAUAGAGUUAAAAAAUAUUAUAUAGAAUUAAAAGGAAUUUAGACACUGAUGAAAAAUGCAAGGUGUUCUGUACGAAAUUUAAAAAAAUAUAUGGCAGUUAGCUUAUUUCUUUUGGUUUCGCAAGUAUGAACUUAUAUAAAUAGUUAUAUCAAAAAUAGAGUUGGUAUACCUAAUUCCACUAUGUAUAUACUUAUGUACGUUCUAUAGAUUUCCAUCUGAUAAAAAGGUUAUAGUCGAUAAAGUAUAAUAUACAUAUAUUGCAAAUUAAAGUUUUAUUGAUCACCAAAUAUUAUUGCGCUUGGCUUCUGCCUCAGUUAUUCGCCAUCCAUUUUCAUGUGUGAAUUCUCUAUUCAUCUGAUUCUUCGUCGUUAUCGAAAACUAUAUAGUCUACGUAUUUAAUAUCGUUAGAAGUAGCUCGUAAGAUCUUAUGCAACAAACAGUUAACAAUAAAUCAGUUGAAACAUAGAA
Molecule: long non-coding RNA, 1378 nt
Organism: Bactrocera dorsalis (oriental fruit fly)
Lineage: Eukaryota; Metazoa; Arthropoda; Insecta; Diptera; Tephritidae
Exons: 3
Source: RefSeq, a predicted model, not a curated record